CCUACGGGAGGCAGCAGUGGGGAAUAUUGGACAAUGGGGGCAACCCUGAUCCAGCCAUGCCGCGUGUGUGAAGAAGGCCCUCGGGUUGUAAAGCACUUUCAGUGAGGAAGAACGCCUGGGGGUUAAUACCCAUCAGGAAAGACAUCACUCACAGAAGAAGCACCGGCUAACUCCGUGCCAGCAGCCGCGGUAAUACGGAGGGUGCGAGCGUUAAUCGGAAUUACUGGGCGUAAAGCGCGCGUAGGUGGCUUGAUAAGCCGGUUGUGAAAGCCCCGGGCUCAACCUGGGAACGGCAUCCGGAACUGUCAAGCUAGAGUGCAGGAGAGGAAGGUAGAAUUCCCGGUGUAGCGGUGAAAUGCGUAGAGAUCGGGAGGAAUACCAGUGGCGAAGGCGGCCUUCUGGACUGACACUGACACUGAGGUGCGAAAGCGUGGGUAGCAAACAGGAUUAGAUACCCGUGUAGUC
RNAcentral lists this ribosomal RNA (465 nucleotides) under Vreelandella stevensii. RNAcentral describes it as "partial 16S ribosomal RNA". It matches the Rfam family "Bacterial small subunit ribosomal RNA", at positions 338 to 795 of the family's 1533-position model. The record is from RNAcentral. Lineage: Bacteria; Pseudomonadati; Pseudomonadota; Gammaproteobacteria; Oceanospirillales; Halomonadaceae.